UUCUUAGUGGUGUAACGGAUAGCACACUCGUAUUCGAGAGGUCCAGGUUCGAGUCCCGGCGAGGAAA
RNAcentral lists this transfer RNA (67 nucleotides) under Stegodyphus mimosarum. It matches the Rfam family "tRNA". Rfam says of the family: Transfer RNA (tRNA) molecules are approximately 80 nucleotides in length. Lineage: Eukaryota; Metazoa; Arthropoda; Arachnida; Araneae; Eresidae. The record is from Rfam by way of RNAcentral.